CAAUCUAGCCACUCCGUUUCUUAAAACAGCGAUUAGCUAACCCAACGUUUUCAAUUAAAACAAACAAUCAGUUUACGAGAAAUAAUGUCCGAUUUCACAUAAGGUAGUUGACCAACGAUAGCAGCUGACACAAUUAUGAAGCAACAAGAUCAGAAAGACAUUUCUUAUUUUUAACUUGGCUGCGACAACCCUGGGGAAAUGUGUGGAUAUACACCUUCGCCUCCUUCCACUGAAGCACGCGCCUAAUAUUCAGAGGUGACUCGUGAGACCGGGGAAUCGGCCAAUCAGGUGACGGCGCCAUGUUCUGCACAGCAUCGUGGGUGAACAGCAUGGGAGAGCACUGACUGAAUCAGAAUUCUCUUGCUGCUUGUCAAAGCGGAUUAAACCUGAUAAAAACAGACAGGUGGAUUAAUGAA
Anguilla rostrata (American eel) is the source of this 416-nucleotide long non-coding RNA. RefSeq lists it as uncharacterized. The transcript has 2 exons. Lineage: Eukaryota; Metazoa; Chordata; Actinopteri; Anguilliformes; Anguillidae. The record is from RefSeq and is a predicted model, not a curated record.